Molecule: long non-coding RNA, 559 nt
Organism: Sapajus apella (tufted capuchin)
Lineage: Eukaryota; Metazoa; Chordata; Mammalia; Primates; Cebidae
Exons: 2
Source: RefSeq, a predicted model, not a curated record
GUGAGCCACCACACCCAGCCUUGAGUUGUAGGAGUUCUUUAUAGAUUCUGGAUACAGUCCUUUAUCAGAUACAUGAUUUGCAAAUAUUUUCUCCCUUCUUUGAGUUGGUUGUCCUUGCACUUUCUUGAACAUUUUAAUUUUUAUGAAGUCCAAUUAAUCUGUGUGUGUGUGUGUGUGUGUGUGUGUGUGUGUGUGUGUGUGUGUGUGUAUUGAACAUAUGAUCUCUUCCUCUGGAAAGAUCAUUAAAUCCAAAUAGGGAAAUGGAGACUUUCCAAGGAAUGUCAAGAGCAGGUGAAAAGAAAACAUUUUGCCAUAGAUAUUUAGAAUAAGUGAGAUAGAUCCGAUAGGAAUGAAGAAGUGCCAUGAUUUACUUCUAUUUCUUCACUGUGUGGCUGACUGAAAACAGUCACUAGCCACAUCUGUCUACUUCAGAUUAAAUUAAUUGGCCAGGUGCUGACUCAUCCCUGUACUCCCAGCACUUUGGGAGGCCGAGGUGGGUAGAUUGCUUGAGACCAGGAGUUCAAGAACAGCCUGGCCAACAUGGUAAAACCCUGUCUCU